CCCUACGGGGUGCCGCAGGCGGAAUGCUAAGUCAGUGGUGAAAUCUCCCGGCUUAACCGGGACACUGCCAUUGAUACUGUCAUUCUUGAGUACAGUUGAAGUGGGCGGAAUGUGUCAUGUAGCGGUGAAAUGCUUAGAUAUGACACAGAACACCGAUAGCGAAGGCAGCUCACUAAGCUGUAACUGACGCUCAUGCACGAAAGCGUGGGGAUCAAACA
Molecule: ribosomal RNA, 218 nt
Filed under: uncultured prokaryote
Description: partial 16S ribosomal RNA
Rfam family: Bacterial small subunit ribosomal RNA
Source: RNAcentral